RNAcentral lists this ribosomal RNA (592 nucleotides) under uncultured archaeon. RNAcentral's name for it is "bacterial SSU rRNA". It matches the Rfam family "Archaeal small subunit ribosomal RNA", at positions 5 to 583 of the family's 1478-position model. The record is from RNAcentral.
CGGUUGAUCCUGCCAGAGGCCGCUGCUAUCCGGCUGGGACUAAGCCAUGCUAGUCUAGGGGCUUGUACUCCUUCGGGGGUGCAAGCACCGGCGGACGGCUCAGUAACACGUGGACAACCUGCCCUCGGGUGGGGGAUAACCCCGGGAAACUGGGGCUAAUCCCCCAUAGGUGAUGGGUGCUGGAAUGCCCCAUCUCCGAAAGCGCUUAGCGCCCGAGGAUGGGUCUGCGGCGGAUUAGGUAGUUGGUGGGGUAACGGCCCACCAAGCCUAAGAUCCGUACGGGCUGUGGGAGCAGGAGCCCGGAGAUGGACCCUGAGACAAGGGUCCAGGCCCUACGGGGCGCAGCAGGCGCGAAACCUCCGCAAUGCGGGAAACCGCGACGGGGUUAGCCGGAGUGCCCGUGCAUUGCACGGGCUGUCGGGGUGCCUAAACAGCACCCCAUAGCAAGGGCCGGGCAAGGCCGGUGGCAGCCGCCGCGGUAAGACCGGCGGCCCGAGUGGCGGCCACUCUUAUUGGGCCUAAAGCGUCCGUAGCCGGCCCAGUAAGUCCCCCGGGAAAUCUGGUCGCUUAACGAUCAGACUUCCGGGGGAUA